Non-coding RNA from Thermotalea metallivorans, 124 nucleotides. The record is from Rfam. Lineage: Bacteria; Bacillati; Bacillota; Clostridia; Peptostreptococcales; Thermotaleaceae.
AGAACCUUUAAAUUAGUCCAGAGAGGCUAAAAAGGAUGUCGGGAAAGAGAUAUAUCAGGGUUUGUAUAUCUUUGUUUUCCAUGAAAAAAACACACCUUCUGCCUCGGGCAGGAGGUUUUUUGUU